This 496-nucleotide ribosomal RNA is filed under the name uncultured bacterium. Its description in RNAcentral is "partial 16S ribosomal RNA". It matches the Rfam family "Bacterial small subunit ribosomal RNA", at positions 28 to 506 of the family's 1533-position model. The record is from RNAcentral.
GAUGAACGCUGGCGGCGUGCCUAAUACAUGCAAGUCGAGCGAACGGACGAUAAGCUUGCUUCUCUCAUGUUAGCGGCGGACGGGUGAGUCACACGUGGAUACCCUCCCUAUCUGACUGGGAUAACUUCGUGAAACCGGCUCUAAUGCCGUAUAAUAUUUUGAACCGCAUGGUUCAAAAGUGAAAGACGGUCUUUCUGUCUCUUCUAGAUGGAUACGAGCUGCAUUAUUUAGUUGGUAAGGUAACGGCUUACCAAGGCAACGAUGCAUAGCCGACCUGAUAGGGGGAUCGGCCACACAGAAACUGAGACACGACCCAGACACUGACGGAAGGCAGAAACAGGUAAGCUACAGAAAAGUGCGAAAGACUGACGGAGCAACGCAGCGCGAAUGAAGAAGCUCUGCGUAUCGUAAAACUCUUUUAUUAGUGAAAAACAUAUUUGUAAGUAACGAUGCACAUCUGAACGUAACCGAAACAGAAAGCCACGGUAAACUAAUG